UACGAAGGGACCUAGCGUAGUUCGGAAUUACUGGGCUUAAAGAGUUCGUAGGUGGUUGAAAAAGUUGGUGGUGAAAUCCCAGAGCUUAACUCUGGAACUGCCAUCAAAACUUUUCAGCUAGAGUAUGAUAGAGGAAAGCAGAAUUUCUAGUGUAGAGGUGAAAUUCGUAGAUAUUAGAAAGAAUACCAAUUGCGAAGGCAGCUUUCUGGAUCAUUACUGACACUGAGGAACGAAAGCAUGGGUAGCGAAGAGGAUUAGAUACCCUCGUAGUCCAUGCCGUAAACGAUGUGUGUUAGACGUUGGAAAUUUAUUUUCAGUGUCGCAGCGAAAGCGAUAAACACACCGCCUGGGGAGUACGACCGCAAGGUUAAAACUCAAAUGAAUUGACGGGGACCCGCACAAGUAGUGGAGCAUGUGGUUUAAUUCGAAGAUACGCGCAGAACCUUACCAACACUUGACAUGUUCGUCGCGACUCUAAGAGAUUAGAGUUUUCGGUUCGGCCGGACGAAACACAGGUGCUGCAUGGCUGUCGUCAGCUCGUGUCGUGAGAUGUUGGGUUAAGUCCCGCAACGAGCGCAACCCUCACUUUUAGUUGCCAUCAUUAAGUUGGGCACUCUGAAAGAACUGCCAGUGAUAAGCUGGAGGAAGGUGGGGAUGACGUCAAGUCCUCAUGGCCCUUACGUGUUGGGCUACACACGUGCUACAAUGGUAUCUACAACAGGAAGCAAGACUGCGAAGUUAAGCAAAUCCCUAAAAGAUACCUCAGUUCGGAUUGCACUCUGCAACUCGAGUGCAUGAAGCUGGAAUUACUAGUAAUCGCAGGUCAGCAUACUGCGGUGAAUACGUUCCCGGGCCU
Molecule: ribosomal RNA, 856 nt
Filed under: uncultured bacterium
Lineage: Bacteria
Description: SSU rRNA
Rfam family: Bacterial small subunit ribosomal RNA
Source: RNAcentral